RNAcentral lists this ribosomal RNA (433 nucleotides) under uncultured bacterium. RNAcentral describes it as "partial 16S ribosomal RNA". It matches the Rfam family "Bacterial small subunit ribosomal RNA", at positions 29 to 507 of the family's 1533-position model. The record is from RNAcentral.
AACGAACGCUGGCGGCAUGCCUAACACAUGCAAGUCGAACGAGACCUUCGGGACAAGUUGCUCACGGGUGCGUAACGUGUGGGAACCUGCCCUUAGGUUUGGGAAACCCCUCCGUAAGGGGUGCUAAUACCGGAUAAUGUCUUCGGACCAAACAUUUAUCGCCUUUGGAUGGGCCCGCGUUGGAUUAGCUAGUUGGUAGGGUAAAAGCCUACCAAGGCGACGCUCCAUAGCUGGUCUGAGAGGAUGAUCAGCCACACUGGGACUGAGACACGGCCCAGACUCCUACGGGAGGCAGCAGUGGGGAAUAUUGGACAAUGGGCGAAAGCCUGAUCCAGCAAUGCCGCGUGAGUGAUGAAGGCCUUAGGGAUGUAAAGCUCUUUUACCCGGGAUGAUAAUGACGGUACCGGAAGAAUAAGCUCCGGCUAACUCCGUG